GAAGUAGAGAGAAAACCAACAGUAUCUUAUGAAGGGCCAAACUCAUCUUAGUGGUCCAGCACUUGGCUGGAUUUUCUUUCUCUCCCCUUCCUGUGAUAUUCAAUAUUUCAGCACAUACAUCUUGCGUCUCUUUCUCACGCUCCCUCUCUCUCUCUCUCUCUCUCCCUCUCUCUCUCUCUCUCUCUCUCUCCGGCUCCACCGUCUCCUCGCACACGCAUGCGUCAUUCGCCCGCUUGUAACAGAGAAAGAUUUUCCGUCAUACCGUUCUUCUUUAAAAAAAAAGAAAGAAAAAAGUAUCGUUUCAAAAACUGUUCGGGAGAAAAUCCUCCUACAGACAACAACGUAGCCCACAGAUGUGUGUCGUUCAGCAGACUGUCGUUCAGACACGCGCCGAUCGGAUGCCUGCAAAAAGAAAAGAAAAAACAAUCUUCUCUCAUCCAGUCGCCAGACUCUGGUGUUCAUCUGCAGCCGUGAGGACUAUCCGUGCAUUGCACUGAGUCUGGGACCUGAACUUCGAGAUGUGGUGCAAAGCUCCCGUGAGUCAGAUUCUUGCAUCCUGAAAUAUGACGCGGGGGGAAAGCUUUGGUGGACAAACAGCUGCUCGUGAACUCUGAGCCGGGGCAGUAUAGUUCUAGCAAGAUCAAAAACAGCGACAACGCAAACGCAACAUAAUGAAAAAGAGGCAGUGACAGAAUGUAGAAGCGUUUGAACCCAGGCCCGACAGACGGAGAGAAGGAAAAAAAAUACAAUUCUUCAAAUCUG
Molecule: long non-coding RNA, 762 nt
Organism: Scophthalmus maximus (turbot)
Lineage: Eukaryota; Metazoa; Chordata; Actinopteri; Pleuronectiformes; Scophthalmidae
Exons: 3
Source: RefSeq, a predicted model, not a curated record